RNAcentral lists this transfer RNA (52 nucleotides) under Hoodia parviflora. RNAcentral's name for it is "partial tRNA-His". Lineage: Eukaryota; Viridiplantae; Streptophyta; Magnoliopsida; Gentianales; Apocynaceae. The record is from RNAcentral.
CAGAGCAAGAGGGCGGAUGUAGCCAAGUGGAUCAAGGCAGUGGAUUGUGAAU